This 330-nucleotide ribosomal RNA is filed under the name uncultured eukaryote. Its description in RNAcentral is "partial 18S ribosomal RNA". It matches the Rfam family "Eukaryotic small subunit ribosomal RNA", at positions 1470 to 1796 of the family's 1831-position model. The record is from RNAcentral.
CCCUUAGAUGUCCGGGGCUGCACGCGCGCUACACUGUAGAAAGCAGCGUGCUUUAAAACCUUUCCUGAAAAGGAUGGGUAACCCCAGCAAAAUUCUACGUGCUUGGGAUAGAGAUUUGCAAUUUUCUCUCUUGAACGAGGAAUUCCCAGUAAGUGCGAGUCAUCAGCUCGCGUUGAUUACGUCCCUGCCCUUUGUACACACCGCCCGUCGCUCCUACCGAUUGAGUGUUCCGGUGAGGCUUUGGGAGAAUGGCCUCAACAUGAGUUUAUCGUGUUUUGCCGUUUGAACUUAGUCAAACCUUAUCACUUAGAGGAAGGAGAAGUCGUAACA